Molecule: ribosomal RNA, 374 nt
Filed under: uncultured bacterium
Lineage: Bacteria
Description: bacterial SSU rRNA
Rfam family: Bacterial small subunit ribosomal RNA
Source: RNAcentral
GACAGAGGUGGCAAGCGUUGUUCGGAAUUACUGGGCUUAAAGGGCGCGUAGGCGGUGGAGUAAGUCUGAGGUGGAAGGUCAGGGCUUAACCCUGAAAUUGCCUUGGAAACUGCAUCACUUGAGUCAGCGAGGGGAUGGCGGAAUUCCAGGUGUAGCGGUGAAAUGCGUAGAUAUCUGGAGGAAGGCCGGUGGCGAAGGCGGCCAUCUGGCGCUGAACUGACGCUGAGGCGCGAAAGCGUGGGGAGCAAACAGGAUUAGAUACCCUGGUAGUCCACGCCCUAAACGGUGGGUACUAGGUGUAGGGCUCGUAAGGGUUCUGUGCCGUAGGGAAACCAUUAAGUACCCCGCCUGGGGAGUACGGCCGCAAGGUUGAA